AAGUCGUAAAGCGGCUCAUGGAAGCGUAAGGAGACGCUGUAACGUUUUGCUGUAGGCCAACACGGCCGGCAAUCCAAGUGGUUGUACUUCGGUACCCUCACAUCGGCACACCACCGAUGAUAUGUCAAUUUCGCGAAUGGACUAAAAGCCUCGCACCAAAAACCGAACAACUGUUAACAAUGGAUAUCUUGGUUCUC
RNAcentral lists this unclassified non-coding RNA (197 nucleotides) under fungal sp. RNAcentral describes it as "partial internal transcribed spacer region". Lineage: Eukaryota; Fungi. The record is from RNAcentral.